RNAcentral lists this ribosomal RNA (445 nucleotides) under uncultured bacterium. Its description in RNAcentral is "bacterial SSU rRNA". It matches the Rfam family "Bacterial small subunit ribosomal RNA", at positions 791 to 1231 of the family's 1533-position model. The record is from RNAcentral.
UAGUCCACGCCGUAAACGAUGUCUACUAGCAGUUUAUCUCGUUAAGAGAUGUCUUGCAAAGCUAACGCAUUAAGUAGACCGCCUGGGGAGUACGGCCGCAAGGUUAAAACUCAAAUGAAUUGACGGGGGCCCGCACAAGCGGUGGAGCAUGUGGUUUAAUUCGAUGCAACGCGAAGAACCUUACCAUCCCUUGACAUCCAGAGAAUUUUUCAGAGAUGAAUUAGUGCCUUCGGGAACUCUGAGACAGGUGCUGCAUGGCUGUCGUCAGCUCGUGUUGUGAAAUGUUGGGUUAAGUCCCGCAACGAGCGCAACCCUUAUCCUUAGUUGCCAGCGCGUAAUGGCGGGAACUCUAAGGAGACUGCCGGUGACAAACCGGGAGGAAGGUGGGGACGACGUCAAGUCAUCAUGGGCCCUUACGGGGAUGGGGCUACACACGUGCUACAAU